Molecule: long non-coding RNA, 722 nt
Organism: Aedes aegypti (yellow fever mosquito)
Lineage: Eukaryota; Metazoa; Arthropoda; Insecta; Diptera; Culicidae
Exons: 2
Source: RefSeq, a predicted model, not a curated record
AUUUUUGUGUAGGAUUUUGAAUUGUAAAAAUAGUUACCUGGUUUGAAUAAAGAGUGUUGCAGCUGCUGGUUGAGGCAUCAGUCAGUUAGCUGCCCAGUUGAAGGAAACAUCUACUGUAUUGUAUUUCUUUAUGAUUUGCAAUCGGAUGUGGACGGGCUAGCCUCGCUAGGAUCUGCGUGGUCUUAGCGGACUAGCUCUUCAACAGGUUAUGGGCCCAGGAACGUGUUCUUACAGCAUGUAUCGUUCUGGAGGAGGAUUGGCCGCAUAAGCCGCGUGGCGCAGUACGGGAUCCUCAGGCUGGAUGGGUUAGCCGCAACGGAGGACGGAAUCUAUCGGGAACGUAGGCGAUACAGGACACUGGAUGGCAGCUGGCUGGUCAAAGGAGCUCGUGUGACAGGAUCGAAGUCAGGAGGAGCUCGGAUGGAUGACGGAGCAUGUACGAAGUUCGGAACGAGGAGGAGUUUCGAGACAGGAGGAGACGAUCGGGAGUUGAGGUUGCGACUCUAAGGAGGAGUGUUGGAAUAGAGGUAGUGUCGCACCUCAGGUAGAAGAAUCGUCGGUUGAGAAGCAUACGUCGUCGUAGGUAAAAGUGUGGAAGAUUUGUUGUGAGGUAUAAUUUUUGUGUAGGAUUUUGAAUUGUAAAAAUAGAUACCUGGUUUGAAUAAAGAGUGUUGCAGCUGCUGGUUGAGGCAUCAGUCAGUUAGCUGCCCAGUUGAAGGAAA